Bactrocera dorsalis (oriental fruit fly) is the source of this 2810-nucleotide long non-coding RNA. RefSeq lists it as uncharacterized. NCBI's taxonomy places the organism in Eukaryota, Metazoa, Arthropoda, Insecta, Diptera, Tephritidae. The record is from RefSeq and is a predicted model, not a curated record. The transcript is spliced from 4 exons.
UUGUAAAGUUCUUCAUAUUUUUAUAAAAAUAACAAAAAAACCUAUUUAUCUUAUUGAUUAACGAAAGAACAUCAAUAAUUACGUGAAUAUAACUUAUAGAAAGCAUAAUUUCAACAUCCAAAGACGUGUAAAGUGCAAAAGUGAAUUUUUGAUUUCGGGAAAUACGAUGUUUUUUGAUAAAAACAAAGAAAAUACUGAUUUUAAAGGCACGCGCCUAACAUAUUUGUAAAUUAGGGCUAAAAACGAGUAUUUUAAGACCUUUCCCGUAAAAAUUGGUGUACGUUUUCGGAAAAGCCGCUCUCCUGAACAUUUACCAAAUUAAUAUACAGAAACGUUAUAGUGAAGUGUUAAAAGCCUGUCUUUAUUCGCAAAAUAUUAUUUUUCGCCACCGUCAUUUCAGGCUUUAAUGACUUUAAGUCUGUAAGUUUCUUUCUUGGAGACAGGUUGGAGGAUAGUUUGCUUUGGCUUGCUCAUUUAGACUUGUGCAUCGAAUGUUUGCCGGCGUUUACGUCCCUUUGGAGCAGGAUACAGCGAACUGACGGCAGCAGCGACUUGAUACCAGCAACGGAGUUAUAGCGCAGCAGUGGCUUAAUACCAGCAGCGGAGUGAUGACAGCAACGGAUUGAAAAACGUUUUUAUUUUUACCGUCACUUUAGUUUUUGCCGGUUCUUUAAACAGUUAUUUUAAACGGUACUUUAGAAACUUAAAUUGUAGAAACGUGAGGCUAAAAUACGGAAGAGUAACAAGGAAAAAGCGAGAGAAAAAGAGAAAGAGAGGCAAGAAAAGGACAGAGAAUCAAACGCGUCCCAAUGCCGAGAGUAGAAUGCCGCAUAUUAGUAGAGGGAGAAAAUAGUCAAGGACAAAGCAACAAUGCAUAUGACGCUACGACGCUAGUAAGAAGGUACCCCAAUGUCCGGCGCCGAACGAGCGAGACGGUUUCGGGAACGUCGCAAAACUGCUGCCGCCGACCUCGAGAGUACUGCUCCCACUGGAAAACCUAUACUUAUGGAUCUUCCACGGAACUGAGAGAUGUCAAUAUCAGUAGAAGUGAAGCAAUGCAAAAUCAUAAACGUUCAGCGGACAAACGCUUCAAAACGGUAUUUAAAGCCAAACCGUUUGGUUUAUCUUGCAGCGUUUGUGAUCGACUUUGGUUUGAAAGAGACUUAAAGAAAGUGAAACAUCGCAACAUUUCUUUCCUUCAAGCAAAAUUACCCGAUGAAAAUGUGACGGAAUUUCGCUUAUGCAGUACCUGUAGCAAAUCGAUAGAUGCCAAUAAAAUCAAAACGCAGUCGUGCUCAAACGGUUUUCGUUAUCCUCUAAAGCCGAGCGGACUGCCGCUGCUUGACCCAAUCAGCAUUCGAUUGAUUUCACCGCGGUUACCAUUUUCAUGUAAACAACAUGGUGAAGCAAUUACCGAGGCGGAUAGACGACGAUUUUGCUUUUAAUAUCAACAUAAAAAAGAAACUUAUUCAUAAAUCGAAUUACUUGAGUGGUUUCGUACGUAGAUCCGUUAUCAAGGCCUGGCUGCGUUAUUUGGUAAACCAACCGCUGUACAAACACUAUGACAUAAAGAUCGACUCGAGUGUGUUUGACAAAGAUAUGGAUGACUAUAUCAAGCUCAAAUUUCAGAUUGAGUCUGUCGAUCCCAACUUUGCCCCAGAAUCUAAAAUCCUGUGUGUCCCGGCACAGCCCCACCCGAUUUUUUAUCGACCGGGAGAAUGUUCAAAAUUGAACAUGUUCGUUGCUACCAAAGGACGGACAACAACAUUAUAGUUAAACCUUUUAUAUGUUUGACAUAUGGUAACACCGAUUAUUUGACAGUUUGUAGCUCUUUCGUUAUUGUUAAGUAAAUUGAUUUGAACAAUAAAUCAAAUAUAGAAUGAAAAUGAACUAUUUUUGCACUAUAGAAUGUAAAAAAAAUGUCUACAAACUAUUUCAUGAAGUGUUUGUGAACAUAAAAAUUAAUGAUAUAAAUGUAAAACUAAUUUUAAAUCCUAAAUAUACGUAAUUCAAUUAGUGGUAAUUUUCAACUUUAAACGCAAAUAUCUCAAAAACUAUUCGUUUGCGACCAUACCCAUUUUAUUUCCGAAAUCCUGGGACGGUAUUCUAAAACUUCAAGUAAACAAUAAUUAAAAUAUUUACAAAAAUUAUAUUCAUAUCAUUUUACUUACGAAGAAAAACACAAUAACUUAUCUUUUGCUUUUGCGAAAAAAUCAAAAUUUUUUUUUAUUUUUUUUCCAGAAAACAAUCAAAAUUGACGCAUUUGACAUUUUAAUUGGCUCACAAUUUCCCAUCAAGGGGUUCCAUAAUUGCUCACCAGGGUUGCCAUUGAUUGUGACAAAUAAGCACAAUAUUGUUGGGGGCGCUGUAUUGGCCAAUAAAUUGUCAAACUACACGAUUGACUUAUAAUAGAGACCAAUAAUUGGUGUAUUGAGACAAUCGUGUAUUAAUACUUUUUGUAUCAACUCGACUGCAUUUGUCAGAUAUUUUUUGUAAGCGAAACGUUCUGUGUUAUUUGACUAACGAUUUUUACAUUGCAAUGUCCUACGAGAGUAAUCGAGCGGUGCGACGCUGCAUUACCAGUCAUUGGUGAAAUGACUAGUUCCAAAAUCGUUUGUGAAUAGCUAAUACAGAAUCGCCAGCGUUUUCAUUAAUUCAAAAUGGCUAGUGAUUUGACUGACUCCAAAUCGUUAGUGAUUUCGUUAAUUCGAAAUUACAGGUGGUUUGACUAAUUCAAAAUCGUUAGCGAUUUCAUUUAUUCUAACUCGCUAGCGAUUUUACUGGUUCAAUUUUACGAAAAUAAAAGAAAU